Perca fluviatilis (European perch) is the source of this 646-nucleotide long non-coding RNA. RefSeq lists it as uncharacterized. The record is from RefSeq and is a predicted model, not a curated record. Lineage: Eukaryota; Metazoa; Chordata; Actinopteri; Perciformes; Percidae. The transcript is spliced from 4 exons.
AGAGUUCCUCCUGUUCCUCUUUAAUGUGUGGGGGCUUUGUGUCCUCCUGGUCCAGACUGGAGCUCCACUCCUGCUGAUGUUCUUCACCAACAAUCACUUUCUGGACAUCUGAAGAUGGUCCCAAGACCUGGAUGUAAGGAUUACGUCAUUUGACAACUUUGGGAAAAAGUUCUUAAAGGCCUACAAGUUAAGCCCUGAUGCUUUCGUACAGAUGGCGAUACAACUGGCCUACUACAGAACUCCGAGAAGGUUGAUUUAUUGGAGAAAGCUAUAAAUGCACACAAAUGGUACACUAACUUGGUACACCGCAAGGCUGGAUUUCAGAUAUGUUUUGGCGCUCAAGAACCAGGAAUGAACGAAAUCGUCUACGGUAUCAUGAACGAUCACAUUGAUUUCACGGUGGCCAAUUUUAAAUCAUCCAAUACCGGCAAAGAAAAUGGAACACAUAUGACCAACCCACUGCAGGAUGCACUGUUGGACAUGAGGGCCCUGCUGGAACAAACUACAAGAGCUGAAGCUAAUCAAGACUUAAACCAAUAGUGCGACAUUUUGGGAAAAUGUGUUUGUUGCAGAGAGUAUAAAAAAAAUCUAUUAAUAUUCUUGAGUACCAUCUGGAACGAAUCACUGUUGUAGACUUUCAUCACAA